This 513-nucleotide ribosomal RNA is filed under the name uncultured bacterium. Its description in RNAcentral is "partial 16S ribosomal RNA". It matches the Rfam family "Bacterial small subunit ribosomal RNA", at positions 28 to 523 of the family's 1533-position model. The record is from RNAcentral.
GAUGAACGCUGGCGGCGUGCCUAAUACAUGCAAGUCGAGCGAACAGACGAGGAGCUUGCUCCUCUGACGUUAGCGGCGGACGGGUGAGUAACACGUGGAUAACCUACCUAUAAGACUGGGAUAACUUCGGGAAACCGGAGCUAAUACCAGAUAACAUGUUGAACCGCAUGGUUCAACAGUGAAAGACGGUCUUGCUGUCACUUAUAGAUGGCUCCGCGCCGCAUUAGCUAGUUGGUAAGGUAACGGCUUACCAAGGAAACGAUGCGUAGCCGACAUGAGAGCGUGAUCGGCCACACUGGAAAUGAGACACGGUCCAGACGCCUACGGGAGGCAGCAGUAGGAAAUCUUCCGCAAUGGGCGAAAGCCUGACGGAGCAACGCCGCGUGAGUGAUGAAGGUCUUCGGAUCGUAAAACUCUGUUAUUAGGGAAGAACAAAUGUGUAAGUAACUAUGCACGUCUUGACGGUACCUAAUCAGAAAGCCACGGCUAACCACGUGCCAGCAGCCGCGGUAA